Molecule: small nucleolar RNA, 73 nt
Filed under: Cyprinodon variegatus (sheepshead minnow)
Lineage: Eukaryota; Metazoa; Chordata; Actinopteri; Cyprinodontiformes; Cyprinodontidae
Description: Small nucleolar RNA SNORD53/SNORD92 (ENSCVAG00000021611.1)
Rfam family: Small nucleolar RNA SNORD53/SNORD92
About the family: U53 is a member of the C/D class of snoRNA which contain the C (UGAUGA) and D (CUGA) box motifs. Most of the members of the box C/D family function in directing site-specific 2'-O-methylation of substrate RNAs. The human orthologue HBII-316 (SNORD92) is predicted to guide the 2'O-ribose methylation of 28S rRNA A3846.
Source: Rfam by way of RNAcentral
GUUGAGUGAUGAUACCCAGAAAGUUUCGCAUUCUGGACUGAGAUCCUGAUGAUUCUCUUGGCUGUCUGACAGA